Molecule: non-coding RNA, 90 nt
Organism: Mycena vitilis
Lineage: Eukaryota; Fungi; Basidiomycota; Agaricomycetes; Agaricales; Mycenaceae
Source: the annotation of a GenBank genome assembly
GCCGCGAUGGCGCAGUGGUGCGCAUCCUCUGAACUUCGCCAAUAGGGUAUCAUUUCUGAGGACCCCGGGGUUCGACUCCCCAUCGUGGCA